CGUGGAUAACCUUCCUUCAGGUGGGGAAUAACCCAGUGAAAAUUGGGCUAAUACCGCAUAACAAGACGAUGGCACAUGCUGUUGUCUUCAAAGGCGCAAGUCGCCAGAAGAGGGAUCCGCGGCCGAUUAGCUUGUUGGCGAGGUAAUGGCUCACCAAGGCAUUGAUCGGUAGCCGGACUGAGAGGUUGGCCGGCCACACUGGAACUGAGACACGGUCCAGACUCCUACGGGAGGCAGCAGUGGGGAAUCUUGUACAAUGGACGAAAGUCUGAUGCAGCAACGCCGCGUGGGGGAUGAAGCUUCUCGGAGUGUAAACCCCUUUCGACCUGGAAGAAUGCCCGCAAGGGUUUGACGGUACAGGUAUAAGAAGCCCCGGCUAACUACGUGCCAGCAGCCGCGGUAAUACGUAGGGGGCCAGCGUUGCUCGGAAUUACUGGGCGUAAAGGGUCCGUAGGCGGUGUGGUAAGUCGGGAGUGAAAUCUUUGGGCUUAACCCAGAGGCUGCUUCCGAAACUGCCGUGCUAGAGUGUGAGAGAGGCGAGUGGAAUUACGGGUGUAGCGGUGAAAUGCGUAGAUAUCCGUAGGAACAUCCGAGGCGAAGGCGGCUCGCUGGAUCACAACUGACGCUGAGGGACGAAAGCUAGGGGAGCAAACAGGAUUAGAUACCCUGGUAGUCCUAGCCCUAAACCAUCAGGACUUGGGGUUUGCCCUGUACGGGGCAAGUCCCGUAGCUAACGCGUUAAGUCCUGCGCCUGGGGAGUACGGUCGCAAGACUGAAACUCAAAUGAAUUGACGG
RNAcentral lists this ribosomal RNA (795 nucleotides) under uncultured Nitrosovibrio sp. Its description in RNAcentral is "bacterial SSU rRNA". It matches the Rfam family "Bacterial small subunit ribosomal RNA", at positions 116 to 916 of the family's 1533-position model. The record is from RNAcentral. Lineage: Bacteria; Pseudomonadati; Pseudomonadota; Betaproteobacteria; Nitrosomonadales; Nitrosomonadaceae.